AUUUUUCAGGGUGCUGUCGAGUGGUUUGAUAAACAGACUGUUAUUACGCAGCGUCACUUCCCCUUUCGCGGUUACCAACUCGCCGUUCAGCGGAAUAUCGAGAUGUAAGCGAGCAUUCACAUCGCCGUCGAGCUGGAGUUCUUGCAGGGUCGCCCCCAGAGAAUCUUUCAGCGGUGUCUCAUCAAAGUAAGGGCCGACGGCUUUACCCGGGCCUUUAAUGUCAGCGUCAAUCAGCAGUUUUUCUUUUGAGUAGUCAGGGAUCACUGCGGUGAGAUUACUCGCGCGCACGCCGCCCAGAUUAACGCCAUCGGUUUUCAUCCAUAAACCGUCGUUAAUAAAGUCCAGUUCAAUAUCAAGGUUAGUUAAUGCAGGCCAGUCCGGCUGGAAGGCAAACUUCGCGUUACGCAGCGGCAC
This 414-nucleotide non-coding RNA is filed under the name Escherichia coli. Lineage: Bacteria; Pseudomonadati; Pseudomonadota; Gammaproteobacteria; Enterobacterales; Enterobacteriaceae. The record is from RNAcentral.